This 454-nucleotide ribosomal RNA is filed under the name uncultured organism. Its description in RNAcentral is "partial 16S ribosomal RNA". It matches the Rfam family "Bacterial small subunit ribosomal RNA", at positions 331 to 801 of the family's 1533-position model. The record is from RNAcentral.
GUACACUCCGGCGGGAGGCAGCAGUGGGGAAUAUUGGACAAUGGGCGCAAGCCUGAUCCAGCCAUGCCGCGUGAGUGAUGAAGGCCCUAGGGUUGUAAAGCUCUUUCACCGGAGAAGAUAAUGACGGUAUCCGGAGAAGAAGCCCCGGCUAACUUCGUGCCAGCAGCCGCGGUAAUACGAAGGGGGCUAGCGUUGUUCGGAAUUACUGGGCGUAAAGCGCACGUAGGCGGAUCGAUCAGUCAGGGGUGAAAUCCCAGGGCUCAACCCUGGAACUGCCUUUGAUACUGUCGAUCUGGAGUAUGGAAGAGGUGAGUGGAAUUCCGAGUGUAGAGGUGAAAUUCGUAGAUAUUCGGAGGAACACCAGUGGCGAAGGCGGCUCACUGGUCCAUUACUGACGCUGAGGUGCGAAAGCGUGGGGAGCAAACAGGAUUAGAAACCCCAGUAGUCCCAUGAU